GCGUGCCUAACACAUGCAAGUCGAACGGGAAUAGGAUGAAACCUAGUGAUUCCUAUUCUAGUGGUUGACGGGUGAGUAACGCGUGGGUAACCUGCCUUGCACUGGGGGAUAACACUUAGAAAUAGGUGCUAAUACCGCAUAAGCGCACAGAACCGUAUGGUUCGGUGUGAAAAACUCCGGUGGUGUAAGAUGGACCCGCGUCUGAUUAGCUGGUUGGUAAGGUAACGGCUUACCAAGGCAAUGAUGCAUAGCCGAGUUGAGAGACUGAUCGGCCACAUUGGGACUGAGACACGGCCCAAACUCCUACGGGAGGCAGCAGUAGGGAAUCUUCCACAAUGGACGAAAGUCUGAUGGAGCAACGCCGCGUGAGUGAAGAAGGGUUUCGGCUCGUAAAGCUCUGUUGGUAGUGAAGAAAGAUAGAGGUAGUAACUGGCCUUUAUUUGACGGUAAUUACUUAGAAAGUCACGGCUAACUACGUGCCAGCAGCCGCGGUAAUACGUAGGUGGCAAGCGUUGUCCGGAUUUAUUGGGCGUAAAGCGAGUGCAGGCGGUUCAAUAAGUCUGAUGUGAAAGCCUUCGGCUCAACCGGAGAAUUGCAUCAGAAACUGUUGAACUUGAGUGCAGAAGAGGAGAGGGGAACUCCAUGUGUAGCGGUGGAAUGCGUAGAUAUAUGGAAGAACACCAGUGGCGAAGGCGGCUCUCUGGUCUGCAACUGACGCUGAGGCUCGAAAGCAUGGGUAGCGAACAGGAUUAGAUACCCUGGUAGUCCAUGCCGUAAACGGUGAGUGCUAAGUGUUGGGAGGUUUCCGCCUCUCAGUGCUGCAGCUAACGCAUUAAGCACUCUGCCUGGGGAGUACGACCGCAAGGUUGAAACUCAAAGGAAUUGACGGGGGCCCGCACAAGCGGUGGAGCAUGUGGUUUAAUUCGAAGCAACGCGAAGAACCUUACCAGGUCUUGACAUCCAGUGCAAACCUAAGAGAUUAGGUGUUCCCUUCGGGGACGCUGAGACAGGUGGUGCAUGGCUGUCGUCAGCUCGUGUCGUGAGAUGUUGGGUUAAGUCCCGCAACGAGCGCAACCCUUGUCAUUAGUUGCCAUCAUUAAGUUGGGCACUCUAAUGAGACUGCCGGUGACAAACCGGAGGAAGGUGGGAUGACGUCAAGUCAUCAUGCCCCUUAUGCCCUGGGCUGCACACGUGCUACAAUGGCCGGCACAGCGGGCCGCGACUGCGCGAGCAGGAGCGAAUCCCCCAAAGCCGGUCCCAGUUCGGAUCGCAGGCUGCAACCCGCCUGCGUGAAGCCGGAGUUGCUAGUAAUCGCGGAUCAGCAUGCCGCGGUGAAUACGUUCCCGGGCCUUGUACACACAGC
This 1363-nucleotide ribosomal RNA is filed under the name uncultured bacterium. RNAcentral's name for it is "bacterial SSU rRNA". It matches the Rfam family "Bacterial small subunit ribosomal RNA", at positions 42 to 1393 of the family's 1533-position model. The record is from RNAcentral.